GUACACGCUGUGACUAGCAUAUCAAUAAGCGGAGGAAAAGAAACUAACAAGGAUUCCCCUAGUAACGGCGAGUGAAGCGGGAAGAGCUCAAAUUUGAAAUCUUAAAGGGUUUCCCUUUACGAAUUGUAGUUUAAAGAAGUGUUUUCUGUUGAGGUUUUGGUAAAAGUUCUUUGGAAUAGGACAUCAUAGAGGGUGAGAAUCCCGUAUUUGACCUUUACUUUCAACUUUGUGAUACACUUUCAAAGAGUCGGAUUGUUUGGGAAUGCAGUCCAAAAUGGGUGGUAAAUUUCAUCUAAAGCUAAAUAUUGGCGAGAGACCGAUAGCGAACAAGUACCGUGAGGGAAAGAUGAAAAGAACUUUGAAAAGAGAGUUAAACAGUACGUGAAAUUGUCAAAAGGGAAGCGUUUGACACCAGUGUUGUUUUUCUGAAAAUCAAUUAAAGAACUGUUUAUGCUAAGCUGUUUAGACUUUAUCAGCUAUCUGUUUAGUUUUGAGCUUUUCUUUAAUGCACUUUUCAGUUAACAAGUCAACAUCAAUUUCUUUUGCUGUAAAAAAGCUUGAGGAAGGUGGCUUGAGAUUCGUCUUAAGUGUUUAUAGCCUCUUGCCUACUGCAGUCGGAGAGAUUGAGGUCUGCAGCGUAGAUCCUUCGGGGCUAAAUGCAUUUGUGCUAAGUUAUAGCAUUUUAUAGACAACUUGUUGACUAUGAUUUGUCUUGUAGCUUACUCGCUUAUGUUAUUUUACCUACGCUUAGGAUGUUGAUAUGCAUGACUGAUAU
This 775-nucleotide ribosomal RNA is filed under the name uncultured Neocallimastigales. RNAcentral describes it as "partial large subunit ribosomal RNA". It matches the Rfam family "Eukaryotic large subunit ribosomal RNA", at positions 22 to 640 of the family's 3401-position model. Lineage: Eukaryota; Fungi; Neocallimastigomycota; Neocallimastigomycetes; Neocallimastigales. The record is from RNAcentral.